Molecule: long non-coding RNA, 3811 nt
Filed under: Sorghum bicolor (sorghum)
Lineage: Eukaryota; Viridiplantae; Streptophyta; Magnoliopsida; Poales; Poaceae
Description: long non-coding RNA (SBIC_LNC002716)
Source: RNAcentral
GCAGCACGCAACACACGGCCAACACACGCUACAUCUAUCUCCCAUCCGGAUCCCUCGCGACCUCCUCCUGGAAGACCGACGCCGACGUCCACGUCCUGCUCCUCCCUUCCCAACGCAAGCUCUUCCUCUCUCCAUUCUCCGUUGUUGAUGUCGCCCUGCUUCCUAGAUGGACCAUGGCGGCGGGUCAGGCUCGGUGCGUGAGCUCCUAGCCACCGGCCGGAACCCUAGCCGCCGGUCAAAAUCCUAGCCACCGGCUGAAGGGGUGGCCGCACUUCUUCUCCGCCGACCAGAUCAAUUGUGGAUGGCCGUCCUUCUUCUUCUCCAGUCAGAUGCACGGUGAGUCGGCUGCCCUUCUUCUCCUCUGGCCAGAUCCACGACAUGGCAGCGAACUCCAGGACGCGGUGGCACCGGCUGCAGUAGCAGGUUUGUUGUUCCCUCUCUUUUUCCCCUCUCUCUUGCAGGCUGUGCGAUGGAUCUAUGGGUGGUGGAUCUGGUGUGGCGGGGUCUCCGCAUGGUGGUGGCUCUCCGGAUUCGGUCCACAAAAUCUUGGAAGGUAAAAUGACAAUGCAUACAAAGUUUUGCUAUCAUGAUUAGUUUAGAAGAUGGUUUUGUACGGCAGAUGGUAGAUCUAGAGCAGAUGGUGUGUUGUCAGAUUUUUUUUUGUUCCUAGUUGCCGUAUGUAGAGCAACUGGUAUGGAUAUUGAUAGAUUUUUUACUACUGCCUUAUGAUUCCUUUAACUAAUGUAAAAAAUAAUGAUAAAGCAAAGAAAGGAUAUGUGCUAUUUUGUAUUUUAGUGUAGCUUUAUAAUGUUAUUAUCCGAUCUAUUUUCUGCUUGAAUUCCAAUCACUAUGUCUGGCUGUAAAUUUGGUGGUUCAGUGCUAAUCACUAUGUGUGGCAUUAAAUAUCAAAGAUAUAUGAUGCUCUUGAUAUGCACUUGGCCAUAUAUGUUGAAGACAAUGUCUGGCAAUAGUUCGUAUAAAUUUGAGAAUUAUUUUAUUGUGUGGAAAAAAUGCAUAUCAUACCAGCACUAAUCAAGUGCACUUGUUCUUUGUUGUGCACUUUUCUGCAACUUUUAGGUAUAUGUACUUGGGGUACAGGAGAAUAAAGGAGGCUUAAUCUGGCUGGUCUGGUCUUUGAAGAUUGAAAUCAGGUUCAUAGUCAAUAUUGGUCUGGUAUUAUACCUUUGCUGGUCCGUGAAUAUUGGGAUCAAUUGCUUCUUUUUUUGUGCCUUGAUGAAGUGGUUGAAUAGUGUUUUCUUUGCCAGUUUCAUGUGGAGGAAUCCAUUCAGUAUUGGAAAAUUAAGAUGGCAGAAUAUAUUCUGGAAUUACUAUUUUCUUGCCAGGUGCUCACUACUUGUAAGUAUUUUCAAGGUCUAUACUAGGAUAUGUAGAUGGUCCUUGGGUCAUUUGACCAUCUUUGUUGCUAUUUUAGAAGAGCCUUAAAAGUAGCUAAUUUAUAUUCUCUCCAUCCAUAGUCACAUUAUAUUAUUGUUUGUAUAUACUUGAAAUUAUGUGGUAUUUGCCUCUAUAAUUUGUGUGUUGAUCAGCGGCACGCAGGCGGACUGAUCUGGUCUGAAAAUAUCCAUAAUGUUCUCCUUGUUGGGAUCCUAGUGAAGGCUUAUUAAGGUGAUUACACUAUUAGUUCAAUGCUUAUGAAAAUGCUAUGAUCAGAUACACAACUACUGAUUCUGACGGUAACAUAUCAGGCUAGCUAGGAGCAUAGAAAUUUUGGUCCUUGUCGCUACUAUUUUAGUGUCCCAUUCUAGAGGCUGGACCAUCUUACAACAUAUGCCUUUCUAAGGCUACCAAAUAAUAAAGCAAUUGAGCAUUCACAACUUUCUGAUUGCAGAGAUGGGCCACUAAGGUGCAAAAAACACCUGCACUUUUCUCCUUGCAUCAAACGUAUGACACCCAGUUUCCCUUUGAUGGAUAAAUAAAGUUAGCUGAUCAUGUAAAUAUCAUAUGAGGUAAGUAUAAUAGGGUUGGUGAUAUGGGAGGCAGAUUCAUUUGAGGCCUCCACCACAGCUUCUCUAGACCCUGCUUAAGAGCUAAUAGAAGCCUAUAUUCGGUCCUAAUGCUUAAACCAACAAACAGGUUCAUAUUAAAAUCUUGGGGAACAGAACUAACCUAAUGAUGGGUUUUAUGCAAAACUGAUGUGCCAGAUGGUUGGGCUCUUAGGGAUCCUACUAAUUUUCAGUUCUCGAGCCCCUAGUGAACAUUAGGUUACUUUUAGCCAAAGAGAGUAGGCUGUUGCCAUCUAUGCUUGGGGUGUGCUUGGUCUGAAGCGUUGCAAAUGACUGUUCGGCAUCAUUCUGGUGAUGUAUUUUUUGGUGUGUUGAUUUCACCGUUUGCUAGUACUAACUUCUCAUGAACGAGAUAUGCAGAUUGAUUGAUGUCCGAGCUGCAGUAUGCGUUGUUUCCUUCCAAUCAGGCCGCUGAUGCACCUUUUGGGACUGCUGAUGCUUGGCCUGCCCUACCAAUAAUGACCCCCUGAUGUAGACUUCAGUUUUGCAGGUUAUCAUUGCUUUGAGUCUGGUGCAACCAGUUUCGUUGCCCUUCGGUGUGCAACCGUGCGUCAUUCCCUGAUCCAACUAGAAUUAUAGCUAUUCAGCGGCGCAUUAGGCAGUGAACUUCUGCACUGCAGUUUUUGCGUGUGUCAUACGUUUGAUGUGAGUAAAAUACCUGAUGCUUCUGUGCACCUGUGAGUACAUUUGAGCAGGACAAUAGUUGGUCAUGAGUCAUCUUUACUUCUUUAGUUAUCUCGGUUAUGUGUAGUUCUAAACCUGAGACGCUACUAUAUCUGAACCUGAUACUAUUGUAGAACCUGAGACUAUGAUCCUUAUCUGAAACUUUAUAGGUAGAACUAUCUCAUCGAGUAGUUCUUGCGGAACACUCUUCCAUUGUGAUCUUGUAGCAAUAAUAUAAGCCAAGAUAAGAAAAAGAUAACCAAAUAUCCACUAAUUGUUCUGAAAAUAAAUAGUUUUGUAUUUGAGGCUGUUAUCUGUAUACUAGAAUUGAAUAUGAAAGUUUUAAUACUCCUCCACAUUGCAACUUAUAUAUAGUAUAUUAUAUUCGAAAAUAUAUUUGGCUACACACAAGAUACGUUUUUUCACGUAACUUCAGAAGGAUUUUCAAUUUUUAUUUAAAAAUUAGACAAAAUAAUCAAACCACAUAAAUUAUCUGCUCCAAUCAUGUAAUCUGUUAUCCUGCUCUAAUGCUCCAAUUGUGAGUCAAGAAUAUGUCACUGCUUGGAGGGAUAUCUAUCUACAUAUCUUUAAUUUUUUACUGUUCUGAAAUAAGUGUUGUUCCAGUUUUGAAAACGUUUCCUAAUUUUUGACUUCAAGAUGUUACAGUUGAUUGGAGAUAUGCCUUGCUAAGUUCAUUUGUUCUGAAAAUAUUUGGUGUAGUGAGAUCAUAUAUGAAUAGAUUAUUAUAACUGUUGUUUGAUUUGUUCCAGCUUACAUAUGUGACGUUCCUUUUUGACUUUUUUCAUUUGUUUCAACGAGUGAUGUUUGUUUCUGAUGUAUUUUCUACAGGACAUGGAGAAAUUCUAGCAACCUAAGGUACUCACUCAUGCUCCUGACACCAAGAAGACCUAGCUGCCAGCACCUAUUGAGCUAUUAGUUUGGUGACUAAGGUCACUUGUGAGAUAGGGAUGUGAGGUUUCAUUUAUUUACUUUAUCUGAGAUAUCUUUGUGACUAAGGUCACUUGUUGAACUAUAGUUUCAUGUUCAUGAUGAAUAUAGUAAAUAUGUUGAUGAAUGACUUGUGAACCUAUUGAUUUGGCCAUGAAUGGAAUAUAUUGUUGAAC